RNAcentral lists this ribosomal RNA (515 nucleotides) under uncultured bacterium. RNAcentral's name for it is "partial 16S ribosomal RNA". It matches the Rfam family "Bacterial small subunit ribosomal RNA", at positions 28 to 523 of the family's 1533-position model. The record is from RNAcentral.
GACGAACGCUGGCGGCGUGCCUAAUACAUGCAAGUCGAGCGAAUGGAUUAAGAGCUUGCUCUUAUGAAGUUAGCGGCGGACGGGUGAGUAACACGUGGGUAACCUGCCCAUAAGACUGGGAUAACUCCGGGAAACCGGGGCUAAUACCGGAUGACAUUUUGAACCGCAUGGUUCGAAAUUGAAAGGCGGCUUCGGCUGUCACUUAUGGAUGGACCCGCGUCGCAUUAGCUAGUUGGUGAGGUAACGGCUCACCAAGGCAACGAUGCGUAGCCGACCUGAGAGGGUGAUCGGCCACACUGGGACUGAGCCACGGCCCAGACUCCUACGGGAGGCAGCAGUAGGGAAUCUUCCGCAAUGGACGAAAGUCUGACGGAGCAACGCCGCGUGAGUGAUGAAGGCUUUCGGGUCGUAAAACUCUGUUGUUAGGGAAGAACAAGUGCUAGUUGAAUAAGCUGGCACCUUGACGGUACCUAACCAGAAAGCCACGGCUAACUACGUGCCAGCCGCCGCAGUAA